Haplochromis burtoni (Burton's mouthbrooder) is the source of this 2278-nucleotide long non-coding RNA. RefSeq lists it as uncharacterized. The record is from RefSeq and is a predicted model, not a curated record. Lineage: Eukaryota; Metazoa; Chordata; Actinopteri; Cichliformes; Cichlidae. The transcript is spliced from 4 exons.
UUUUGGCAAAGGGAGUUUUAUAUAUCUUUUAUUGAUCAGGGCAAAAACUCUCACUGACUUAUAAAAAUGUAUUUUUCAGGAGCGAUCAGGCCAAGAGAAUAGCAGAAAUUGCAACAAAUUUAACAGUUCUACAAUGAUAAUAUAAAUAAAGAUAUAUGCUGACGGCAAUGCAGACACAGAGUAGGUAAAACAACACAAAGUCAUAAAUAUACUCGGGAAAGCAGCUACUUUUUGUGUUUUAUAUACAAACUCUUUCAUAACUCCUGUUGACCAGAGGCUAUUUACUAACGUAAGCAAAGAUAUAGUACAUAAAAAUAAAUUUAAAAGGACAAACAUCAGAAAUCACUUUUUUUUCAAGUUCAGAAUGUGACCCCAUAAUCGACCUCCCUAAACCUGCUGGUCUGGAAGUCCAGCAGUUCAUCUAAACAAAAGGCACUUAGACUAAAACAGAUAUAGAUAUGUUUAUCCAGCCAUGAAACAAUAAGAUCAAGGACCUGAUUCUGGACUAUUGCGCCAAUUUCAGGCUUAGGGUCACUUCUGGGGCAGUUACUUCAUGCUGGCACCGCCUCGGGAAAGGUAUAAUAACAGGCUGUACCAUCUCAGUUACGCUCUUUGCCCUUGCAAUGAACAUGGUGGUAAAGGCUGCUGAGGUGGAGUGCAGAGGGCCGCUAACAAGGUCAGGUGUUCGUCAGCCCCCUAUCAGAGCCUAUAUGGAUGACCUCACCAUUACAACAUCAUCAGUCCCAGGGUGUAGGCGGAUCUUGCAAGGACUUGAGAAACUCAUCUUAUGGGCAAGGAUGAGUUUUAAACCUUCCAAGUCAAGAUAUAUGGUACUGAAGAAGGGCAAGCUCUCAGGAACCAUUAUUCCAUCCAUAACGGAACAACCAGUCAAGAGCUUGGGGAAACUCUUCGACUCCAGCCUGAAAGACUCUAAUGCCAUUCAGAAGGCAAAUGAGGAGCUGGGAGCGUGGCUCAUUAAGGUGGAUAAGUCCGGCCUGCCUUGAAGAUUUAAAGCCUGGAUCUACCAGCAUUCCAUCCUGCCCCGAAUCCUGUGGCCCCUGCUUGUCUAUACAGUUCCAAUAACUAUUGUGGAAUAAAUGACAAUCCAACAAUACAAAUCUAACAAAUGCAAUAAGCAAAAACUGGAUUGUUCUUCAAAAAGACUGCCAUAGCUAUUCACAUGUCUCAGUGUUUCCUCCACAGGUGGAAAGUUUCCUGACAGGUGUGUUCAAUAAUGACCUAACCAGCUCUCUGUUGGGUGUGUAGACUACUUCCUCAUAUUAAAAUUCCUGUUUGAACAAUGAACAUGAGAUAUGCAUGCCUCAGCUGUGUUUGACUCGGUCAAUGUGUUUCAUUACAAAACUGCCGCUUUACUUCAAGCUGUCGCUAGCAAUCAGAAAGUGUUUCUUUUUGUCUUUCGUCAGAUCUUUUAUUGAACUGUGCAAGUAUGCUCAUCAACACUAGGCCAGGGGAAAAAUUAUAACUGCAACAAAGAAAGACCAUUAUUACCCACACCUGGUCAAAAUGGCAAAAAGGAAAAUCAACCAUACUAAAAUAAGUAGGCACACUAUAAGUAAACCAGUUCUGAAACUGAAGCUACCAGUCCUGCAACAGAAAUCAAGUAUAAGAAAGCUAUACCUAUUUUAGUGAUUGCAGUAUAAGGUGGCCUCUUGAAUUUGCCUGUAUGCGAGGGCCUCCAGGAUGGAAGCGGUUACAUAUUUUUAAAAAAAUGCAAACAAAGUUGCUAAUCAGGAAACAGACAAUGGGAGUGUCACGAACACCCUUUUGAACCUCGUGGAGGUGGUUUUCUCUUCGCUCUAUUGACUCUGCUGAAUCCAGGUAUUUGCUUCAGUGAAGCUGCUCUUCCGUUUGACAUAUUCUUGUACAGCACUGCAAACAUGUCAGACCCAACAAGACUGGAAAUGGCAUUGGCUGCAAUGUUCAGUGCCUACAUGUCCUACCAAGGAGAUGACAAUAAACUGACCAAAGAACAAUUUCUAAAAUUAGUGAAGAAUGAACUACCCUUACUUUCUCAGGGAAAAAGUGAAGAUGAGCUCUUCCAGUGUGUCGACCACAAUGAUGAUAAACGUGUGGACUUUGAAGAGUUCGCCUCACUGGUUGCUGGUUGCGCCUGUGCAAGCCAUGACGCCCUCCAAAAGGUCAUGAAAGAACUGGACACAAAAGGCUGCCCAAAGUAAAGCACUGCUGAUGUGGAAAGAAACCCAAUAUAGGCCUUCCCUGGAUUCACAUUAAAACAAUAAAGUUAGUCAAAGUCAAA